RNAcentral lists this transfer RNA (76 nucleotides) under Salmonella enterica subsp. enterica. Its description in RNAcentral is "tRNA-Pro". It matches the Rfam family "tRNA". Rfam says of the family: Transfer RNA (tRNA) molecules are approximately 80 nucleotides in length. Their secondary structure includes four short double-helical elements and three loops (D, anti-codon, and T loops). Further hydrogen bonds mediate the characteristic L-shaped molecular structure. tRNAs have two regions of fundamental functional importance: the anti-codon, which is responsible for specific mRNA codon recognition, and the 3' end, to which the tRNAs corresponding amino acid is attached (by aminoacyl-tRNA synthetases). tRNAs cope with the degeneracy of the genetic code in two manners: having more than one tRNA (with a specific anti-codon) for a particular amino acid; and 'wobble' base-pairing, i.e. permitting non-standard base-pairing at the 3rd anti-codon position. Lineage: Bacteria; Pseudomonadati; Pseudomonadota; Gammaproteobacteria; Enterobacterales; Enterobacteriaceae. The record is from RNAcentral.
CGGCGAGUAGCGCAGCUUGGUAGCGCAACUGGCUUGGGGAUCAGUGGUCGGAGGUUCGAACUUCUCUCGCCGACCA